This 1467-nucleotide long non-coding RNA is filed under the name Oryza brachyantha (malo sina). RNAcentral's name for it is "long non-coding RNA (OBRA_LNC002016)". Lineage: Eukaryota; Viridiplantae; Streptophyta; Magnoliopsida; Poales; Poaceae. The record is from RNAcentral.
GCCAAACUAAAAUUUGUAUUGUUGGGAUGGUCAGUUUGUCCAGCCUCCCUAAUCCAAUAAAACAUUGCAUACAACAUACAUAUCAAAACUAUCCUUAUUUUCUAUUUUUGUUGCAAAUGCAUGUGAAAGUUUGUAGUUCUACGGAACACCAUGAACCUGAAAACUAUGGGGGAAAACGCAAAUUAGUUUUGACUUCUCCUUUUGUUUCAGUCGGCAGGGUAAGGCUGUAAUUCCCUAUUAUUACGCUGAUGAUUCAUCCAAUCUUUCAAUUUAGUAACACAUUUACACAAAAGGAGGAUUGCGUACGUGCUUACACGUAUACGCUAACAGAUUAGGGUACUAUUUAUGUGUAUCUACGUUCAGAUACCGCACCAGGGGACGCCAGGGAGCGUAUAUAUGUGGAAACUAUUAGAAGAAGAAGCAGAACAACUCCAUUCAGGUAAAGAGAGGGUUCGGUCGCAGAAGCCAGGAUCCAUGACCAUGGUCGGGGGUGUACCGGCCGCCGCCGCCUUCUUCAUCCUCUUCCUCGGUGCCAAUGGUAUGUGAUCAACGGAAUCUGCCUGUGUUUUUCUUUUAGAUAGAUCCACCAGUGACCUGUGUUUCUUCAGUGGUUGAAUGGUUUCCCAUGAAAUUUGUGUGCAAAUGGGGCACAUAGGAAUUCUGAUACCAGCAUCGACCCACCUGCCAUGCAUUAGGCGUACCAUAUGAUGUCCUGAACAACUGUGGGUGAUUGCCCUGUUCUUUUCAUGAAUUGUUGCUUCCCCUGGUUAAUCGUAAUGAUCACGGGUCGACCUACAAUCCACAUAGGUCUUAACUUUUAACUUUUAGUCCUUUACGUUUAACCACAUGAAGCUUUUAGUUUUUCACCUAGAUUGACAUGUUUACAUGACGUAUGGACGUUAUACUCCUGCAAUUGGGACUGUCAUGCUUUUCAUGCUUGUUCACAAUCCAUACACACAGGCCGGGUUUUUUUUUUUUUUGCUGAGUUAUCUCCCUCCGUGCCUCUCUUGAUUUGUUUUUUCAUACUCUUUUCUAGGAGUAUAAGAAAGAUAUGUAGCUAGCCUUGAUGUGCAUAAACUGCAUACAUGUGCGUUUCUAAUCGAGAUACUGCUAUACGUACUUUAAAAAUUCUUAUAUAACUCUUAUAAACAAAAAAUCUUAGCGUUUUGAUCUAGUCAAUUGGUAGUUAUUAAAAAUCAAGAUGCAACCAUAGUUUGCCAGGUCAAUUUUCUAAAGAAUUUGUAAGACUAUUUUUUACGUUCCGUCAACCAUCUAUUUGCAUCUUAGAUCCAUGCAUGUAGGUUGAUACUGGCUAGCUUGGGUUUGAUUUCUAAGAGUUGGGUUUGAGUUUUGAGUCUUUUGACACAUGCUAUUGCUAGUGACCUCCAGGUGCAACACAAGUCAAGUUCACGUUCCAUAACAACUGCCCGGAGACCGUCUGGCCGGCGACGCUGUCCUCGGCGGGNN